GGAAUAUUGCACAAUGGAGGAAACUCUGAUGCAGCAACGCCGCGUGGAGGAUGACGCAUUUCGGUGUGUAAACUCCUUUUAUAUAGGAAGAUAAUGACGGUACUAUAUGAAUAAGCACCGGCUAACUCCGUGCCAGCAGCCGCGGUAAUACGGAGGGUGCAAGCGUUACUCGGAAUCACUGGGCGUAAAGCGCAUGCAGGCGGUUUAUUAAGUUGGAAGUGAAAUCCUAUGGCUCAACCAUAGAACUGCUUCCAAAACUGAUAGACUAGAGUCUGGGAGGGGAAGAUGGAAUUAGUAGUGUAGGGGUAAAAUCCGUAGAGAUUACUAGGAAUACCAAAAGCGAAGGCGAUCUUCUGGAACAGUACUGACGCUGAGAUGCGAAAGCGUGGGGAGCAAACAGGAUUAGAUACCCUGGUAGUCCACGCAGUAAACGAUGAAUGUUAGUCGUUGGGACUCUAGUAGUUUCAGUGAUGCAGUUAACACAUUAAACAUUCCGCCUGGGGAGUACGGUCGCAAGAUUAAAACUCAAAGGAAUAGACGGGGACCCGCACAAGUGGUGGAGCAUGUGGUUUAAUUCGAAGAUACGCGAAGAACCUUACCUAGCCUUGACAUACUACAGAAUUUGACAGAGAUGUUGAAGUGCCUUCGGGAGCUGUAAUACAGGUGCUGCACGGCUGUCGUCAGCUCGUGUCGUGAGAUGUUGGGUUAAGUCCCGCAACGAGCGCAACCCUCGUCCUUAGUUACUAACGGUUCGGCCGAGGACUCUAAGGAGACUGCCUUCGUAAGGAGGAGGAAGGUGAGGACGACGUCAAGUCAUCAUGGCCCUUACGGCUAGGGCAACACACGUGCUACAAUGGUUAGGACAAUGAGAAGCGAUACCGCGAGGUGGAGCAAAUCUAUAAACCUAAUCUCAGUUCGGAUAGCAGUCUGCAACUCGACUGCUUGAAGCUGGAAUCACUAGUAAUCGUAAAUCAGCUAUGUUACGGUGAAUACGU
This 995-nucleotide ribosomal RNA is filed under the name uncultured bacterium. Its description in RNAcentral is "bacterial SSU rRNA". It matches the Rfam family "Bacterial small subunit ribosomal RNA", at positions 358 to 1371 of the family's 1533-position model. The record is from RNAcentral.